CAAAUGGUCUUGUUUGCUCCAGAGAAGCGGUUGGCAGAGGGCACUUUGCUUCAAGCAGGCUGGCCCAAGCGUGAAGGUCACCUUUUCUUUCUGGCAAAAAGAGGCCGGAGUGGUAAGCAUAGAAACUGGCCUGGCCUUGGACACUGUGCUUGUGGAGCUGCAGAAGGAGCCCAUGACUUCUCUCCUUCCCAGCGUUCUGUACGAGACUGAAGGCAGGGCUCCCGCUCCAAGCAAGGACUUCCACCACCUGGCCAUCACCAAAACUGAGGUUAUCUGGAAGUCACGGAUGAUUUCUCUCCACCCAGACCAAGAAAAAAUGCUCCCAAGAGAGGAGAGGCAUAACCUUGCCAGCAGAAUAACACAGUGUCAAGCUUGUGGAAUGCCUAUAGGAAGAAAAGUCAUGGGAAAAACCUGGCAGAUACAGAAAGUGUUUGGGAAAGAAGUAUUGGAUUAUUCCUUGAAUCUGUGUCAGGGAAAAUUUGAUUUGUUAGUUCGCAUGCCUGACAACAUAAUCCUACAGAUCUUCCCCUUUCUUGAUUUGGAUGACAUUGGGCAGCGGUCAAAAACCUGCAAAAAAUUCCAAAAGAUGCAAACAUUCUGUGUGUCUAUAAAUGGCUUGAAGCACACUCUGCAAUUCUAGUUGGACUGCACGGUGUGGAUACACUGGUGUCGGCAUCCACGUUGCUGAGCUCUCACUCAGCUGUUCUGAGGGGCAGAGCGACAGCUGCUGUGUAGCGAUGAAAAAUUCUGGGAGAAAUUUAGAACUUCACAAGAUAAACAUGCUUUUGAUACAAAGAAAAUAGGAAUAACCAUUUACAAGAAGAAACUGCUAGCUUUCCACCAAAAUGCAGCCAGCAGAAGCUCACAUGGAGAGAAGACAGAGAGCAUUUUUCUAAACUGAAGUGACAAAAUUUUAACAAUUAAGAUUAAAAUAGAAUUUUCAUAUAAAAUUACUAUCAUUAGAUCUUAUCACAGAGACUAGGUUGAAGCUAUUAUCUGGUAGAUUUAAGUAGGAAAAUAAAAAACUCUUGACUCAAUUUUCUCUUUCUUUACUGCUAUCAACCUAUUAACAGAUCAAGUGAAUCAAAUACCUACUUAACCUCACACACGUCUUAAUUUUAAAGAUGGGAAGAGCAGCACAGGAAGCAAAGCUGUUCACAGCACAGAUGACUCUUAUGUCUUCACUGGUGAAGGUGGACACCAAUGGGGGUUCAUGAUAGAGAAGAAAAUAAAUACCAUCUCAUAAUGAGAAGGGUGAGAUUUGUGAC
Phacochoerus africanus (Common warthog) is the source of this 1268-nucleotide RNA transcript. It is a transcript of the gene named F-box only protein 36-like, with no coding region annotated. The record is from RefSeq and is a predicted model, not a curated record. The transcript is spliced from 6 exons. NCBI's taxonomy places the organism in Eukaryota, Metazoa, Chordata, Mammalia, Artiodactyla, Suidae.